AGAGUUUACAAGGUUACAUCAUUCCCCAACAACAAAUAGAGUUUAGUUCCCCAUAAACAUGGUGGAACCCUAUGAACUAUGGAAGAAAGAAAGAAUGAAAAGACUAAGAAUUUGGCUAAGAGUGUAUUGUUAUGCUUGCUUCUGCCAGGGAUGCAAAACCUAAAGCCCCAGGGUCCUUUAAAUAGUGCCAAAAGUGUUCCAAACUGCGGCCUAGUCCAAAAGAAUCAAAUCAGAGCAGAUACAGGGCCCGAUCCGCGUCAAAUCACGCUCAAGCGUCGCAGGGAGCUCGCCCGGGCGUGAAUCAAUGCUUUUGUAAGGCUUGGGCACCAGUUUUCGGCGCCUGGACUACGAACGUCUAUCGCCUAGGCGUCGAGUCCGUCGUCCGAGUGACCAGUGGUAAUUUCCAGAUCGUUGUUUCGCGUUUCUAUCGCCUGGUCCUCGCUUGGGCUCCGGGUUUUCUCCCUUCUUGAUGCCUUUUUGACCCCUUUUGAGCUCCAUCUUCAUGGCUUUUCACUUCUUCUUCCAUUAUUGCUUCAGUCUCUGUCAAAACAAAGGGAAUUUGUUAGAAAAUAGUUAAAAUCAACCUCAACUCUCUUAUUCACACAAUUUACUGAAAACACAUGAG
Molecule: long non-coding RNA, 625 nt
Filed under: Vigna radiata
Lineage: Eukaryota; Viridiplantae; Streptophyta; Magnoliopsida; Fabales; Fabaceae
Description: long non-coding RNA (VRAD_LNC016753)
Source: RNAcentral